GGAACAACCCGCCGAAAGGCGGGCUAAACCCGCGUACAUGCCACCGGGGCAUCCCGGAGGCAGGAAAGGCUUCGGCCGGACAGGGAUGGGCAUGCGGCGCAUUAGGCAGUAGGCGGGGUAACGGCCCACCUAACCGACGAUGCGUAGGGGUCCUGAGAGGAAGGUCCCCCACACUGGUACUGAGACACGGACCAGACUCCUACGGGAGGCAGCAGUGAGGAAUAUUGGUCAAUGGUCGGGAGACUGAACCAGCCAAGCCGCGUGAGGGAGGAAGGUACAGAGUAUCGUAAACCUCUUUUGUCAGGGAACAAAGACUGGGACGCGUCCCCGGAUGAGUGUACCUGAAGAAAAAGCAUCGGCUAACUCCGUGCCAGCAGCCGCGGUAAUACGGAGGAUGCGAGCGUUAUCCGGAUUUAUUGGGUUUAAAGGGUGCGCAGGCGGUCUGUUAAGUCAGCGGUCAAAGCCCGGGGCUCAACCCCGGCCCGCCGUUGAAACUGGCAGUCUCGAGUUGGAGAGAAGUAUGCGGAAUGCGCGGUGUAGCGGUGAAAUGCAUAGAUAUCGCGCAGAACUCCGAUUGCGAAGGCAGCAUGCCGGCUCCACACUGACGCUGAGGCACGAAAGCGUGGGUAUCGAACAGGAUUAGAUACCCUGGUAGUCCACGCAGUAAAC
Molecule: ribosomal RNA, 669 nt
Filed under: uncultured bacterium
Lineage: Bacteria
Description: bacterial SSU rRNA
Rfam family: Bacterial small subunit ribosomal RNA
Source: RNAcentral